RNAcentral lists this long non-coding RNA (1791 nucleotides) under Homo sapiens (human). RNAcentral's name for it is "HSALNT0281951". Lineage: Eukaryota; Metazoa; Chordata; Mammalia; Primates; Hominidae. The record is from RNAcentral.
AAAGAAAAAAACACUUAAGAGUUAAGAGAGAGGAGGAGUGGAAGAAAAUAUCCCCAUGACAGAUAUUAUAAGGAUUUUGAGACGGACCUUAAAAUACUUCUCAUCAGAGGGGCUCCAGCAGCUGCGAGAAGGCAUCCCAUCACCGAUGUUCCAAGAUAUCCUGGCUUACAAAGCUCUCCAUGUGCUGUUUGGCAUCAAAAACAUUCUGCCUCCUUUUCUUUUUUUCUUUCAUACUCCACUAUGGAAUAUGGAAUGUUUUCUUUCUGUGAGGAUAGAGCAAGGACUGGCUUCUUGACAUAGGAAAUUGACUAUAAACAAGAAAAACAUCUGCUGAAGUCAUGAGGUGCUAUUUUUCAGUAUUCAGGAUCAAGGAACCCUAAAGCUAUAACAAUUCUAUAAUUCUAUAAUGUUAAAGAUUUCUCCUUAACAGAUGGUAGUCAUUACAAGUUACUGCAGGGCAUAACUCUUCAAAGGCUAAGAUGAAAAUUUGUCCCAUGCAAAAAAGAGAAGAGAUUUGAUGAAGAAAAGGCAGGGUCAAGUGAUUUUUAAAUCGUGUUAGAAUUCUCCAACUCUUUUGAAAGUUCUAUUUUCUCAUAAUUAGUUUUAGAAAGGUGACUUAGUCAUAAAUUUUACAUCAUAAAAAUCACUGGGCUUCAGAAAUGUAAUAGCUACAUGUCUUUACUGAAUUCAAAAUAAUCCCAUAACUCUUGUCAAAUGCUUUUAGAAUUUAUUAUCACUAAAAGGAUAAUGGUUUAUGCUAUUUCUGUAUACAAAAUGCUUCAAAUUAAAUAUAUCAUGUAGUGACAUGGUCCAAAACAAUUGUCAGUGUCAUGCACAUAUUGGGCUCAUUAAUUCAUUUGUUCAUUAAUUCAUUCCUUCUACAAGUAUAUAUUGAGCAUCUUUUAUAAUCCCAGGCAUUGUUCUAGGUGCUGAAGAUACGAUUAUGAACAAAAGAAACAAAAGUCUCUUUUUUCAUAGAGCAUACCACCACUCUGGAAACACAUGCAUACAGACACACACAGACACACAUGCUAGUGUUAAAUGAAGGAAUAAGAUACUUUUGGAGUUGCACAGUGUGGUAAACAGACUUUAAGGUGGCUCCAAAGAUUCCUACCUCCUGGUAUUCAUGCCUUUGUGUAAUCUUCUCCCCUUGAGUGUGGGCAGGACCUGUGGCUUUCUUUUAAGCAAUCUAAUGUAACAAAGAUAAUGGAAUGUAGGUGAUCCUAUGUCCUUAUUAGAAUCUCCCUCCCUCUUUCCCUCUCUCUUUUUCUCUCUCUCUCUGUCUGUUGUUCAAUCUCAUUUUCUAUCUCUCUCUCUCUCUGGCUUUGAAGAGGCAAGCUGUCAUGAAUCUUAUAGCCUCAGGAGAAAGAAUGCUGCCAAUGACCUAAGGGAACUUGGGAGCUUAUCCUUCCCCAGUUGAGCCUCUGAUGAGAACUCAGUCCUGGUUGACACCUUGAUUGCAGCUUUGUGAGACACUAAGCAAAGGACCCAGGUCAUAAGAGCCCUAAUCAAGAGAGGGUUCUGUCCCACACCCAGAAGGAAAGAAUGUUGCUCAAAGAGGCCAAGAAGAAUCCAGACAGAAAGGACGUGCUGGGUUUCCCCACUCAGUCUGUUGGCAUUAGAUCAUACCUUUUGUCCAAUUAUAUUUCUACAAAGCUAUCCAUACUUUGUUGAACCUAAGCAUAAAAAUGGACAGUUUUCCCUGUAUCUUUGGGUCUUUAUUCUGAUGGCUCCCAUGUCAUGUAAAAAACUAUGAUCAAAUAAAUAUGUAAGUCUUUUCUCCUAUUAAUC